UGCUUCGUCGCUCCGCUCCUCGCAAUGACGAAGAAAACUCUGCCUACAGCCGCCGCAACUGAACGUCCUCGAUGAUGUGGUCACUGCCCUUCUUCAGGAUCAGCGUCGCACGCGGCCGGGUCGGCAGGGUGUUCUCUNNUCUUCCAGAUUGACAAGGUUGAUGGUGGUCCAGAGCUCAAGCGCCCGGUCGGUCGCUUCCUUGUCCGACAGCUUCGCAUAGCGAUUGAAAUAGGACCGUGGAUCGCGGAACGCCGUGUCGCGCAAUGUGAGAAAGCGCUCGACAUACCAUUCGCGCAGGAUCGGCUCCUCAGCAUCGAUAUAGACCGAGAAGUCGAAGAAAUCCGACACAUAGGGCACGGCCUUGCCGUCGCGCGGCAGGCGUCCGGUUUGCAGCACGUUGACGCCUUCCACGAUGAGAAUGUCGGGCCGGUCGAUUUCGACUCCCUCGUUGGGAAUGAUGUCGUAGGUGAGAUGCGAGUAGACCGGCGCGCGGACAGGUCGGCGACCGGCCUUGAUGUCGGACAGGAAAC
This 530-nucleotide unclassified non-coding RNA is filed under the name Hevea brasiliensis (rubber tree). Lineage: Eukaryota; Viridiplantae; Streptophyta; Magnoliopsida; Malpighiales; Euphorbiaceae. The record is from RNAcentral.